UUAAGUGUAGGGUGGUGAUGUUGGGUGUAUUUAUGCAUUCUAGUGUCACUAUUCUAGCCUUUUAGCCUUGUUUUGAGGAUGAUUCAUGUGCUAUAUAGGUUAAUAGUGAGGUAAAUAUAUAUCAAAGUGUUAAAGCAUGUGUUUACAACGAUCAAAGUGAAUUCCAACCAAGUUUUUAUUUAAUUAAGUCAUUUAGAGUUCAACCCAAAAAACUAGUGUUACUAGCUUGAGCUAGG
Molecule: long non-coding RNA, 236 nt
Filed under: Capsicum annuum
Lineage: Eukaryota; Viridiplantae; Streptophyta; Magnoliopsida; Solanales; Solanaceae
Description: long non-coding RNA (CANN_LNC015421)
Source: RNAcentral